RNAcentral lists this ribosomal RNA (255 nucleotides) under uncultured bacterium. RNAcentral's name for it is "partial small subunit ribosomal RNA". It matches the Rfam family "Bacterial small subunit ribosomal RNA", at positions 26 to 285 of the family's 1533-position model. The record is from RNAcentral.
AGGACGAACGCUGGCGGCGUGCUUAACACAUGCAAGUCGAGCGGAAAGGCCCUUCGGGGUACUCGAGCGGCGAACGGGUGAGUAACACGUGAGCAACCUGCCCCUCACACUGGGAUAACCUCGGGAAACCGGGGCUAAUACCGGAUACGACCUCGAGCGGCAUCUCUUGAGGUGGAAAGCUCCGACGGUGAGGGAUGGGCCCGCGGCCUAUCAGCUUGUUGGUGGGGUAAUGGCCUACCAAGGCGACGACGGGUA